RNAcentral lists this non-coding RNA (28 nucleotides) under Mus musculus (house mouse). Lineage: Eukaryota; Metazoa; Chordata; Mammalia; Rodentia; Muridae. The record is from RNAcentral.
UAGAAUGCAUGGAAGACUUGGUUCUUGU